RNAcentral lists this ribosomal RNA (253 nucleotides) under uncultured bacterium. RNAcentral describes it as "partial 16S ribosomal RNA". It matches the Rfam family "Bacterial small subunit ribosomal RNA", at positions 524 to 776 of the family's 1533-position model. The record is from RNAcentral.
UACGUAGGGACCAAGCGUUGUCCGGAUUUAUUGGGCGUAAAGAGCUCGUAGGCGGCUUGUCGCGUCGACUGUGAAAGCCCCCGGCUCAACUGGGGAGGGUCAUUCGAUACUGUUCGACUCGAAGGCAGGAGAGGGAAGUGGAAUUCCCGGUGUAGUGGUGAAAUGCGUAGAUAUCGGGAGGAACACCAGUGGCGAAGGCGACUUCCUGGCCUGUUCUUGACGCUGAGGCGCGAAAGCUAGGGGAGCAAACGGG